UACAGAGGUCUCAAGCGUUGUUCGGAUUUACUGGGCGUAAAGGGUGCGUAGGUGGUGGAGAAAGUCUGACGUGAAAUCUCCGAGCUCAACUCGGAAAUGGCGUUGGAAACUUCUUUGCUAGAGGAUUGGAGGGGGGACUGGAAUACUUGGUGUAGCAGUGAAAUGCGUAGAUAUCAAGUGGAACACCAGUGGCGAAGGCGAGUCCCUGGACAAUUCCUGACACUGAGGCACGAAAGCUAGGGGAGCAAACAGG
RNAcentral lists this ribosomal RNA (253 nucleotides) under uncultured bacterium. Its description in RNAcentral is "partial 16S ribosomal RNA". It matches the Rfam family "Bacterial small subunit ribosomal RNA", at positions 524 to 776 of the family's 1533-position model. The record is from RNAcentral.